Molecule: non-coding RNA, 357 nt
Organism: Odoribacter sp. CAG:788
Lineage: Bacteria; Pseudomonadati; Bacteroidota; Bacteroidia; Bacteroidales; Odoribacteraceae
Rfam family: Bacterial RNase P class A
About the family: Ribonuclease P (RNase P) is a ubiquitous endoribonuclease, found in archaea, bacteria and eukarya as well as chloroplasts and mitochondria.
Source: Rfam
AUAGCAGGCCGUUCUAUCGCUGUCCCGCAAGGGAGAGAGGAAAGUCCGGGCAACACAGGGAACCGUGCUUCCUAACGGGAAGAUAUCCGUGAGGGUAUAGUAACGUAACAGAAAAUAACCGUUCCGGGCGUUUAACGUUUCGGAAUAAGGGUGAAAAGGUGGGGUAAGAGCCUACCGGUAUUCCGGGUGACCGGAGUAGCCGUACGUCUGACGGGUUGCAAGACCAUGUAUACCGACGCUUUAAGCUUUCCCGGCUGAGUCGGGGGGUAGGUUGCUGGAGUUGCAAAGCAAUUUGCAACGUAGAUAAAUGAUAGAAACCGUAAGGUACAGAACCCGGCUUACAGGCCUGCUAUUUUU